ACUCAAAUGAAUAGACGGGGGCCCGCACAAGCAGUGGAGUAUGUGGUUUAAUUCGAAGCAACGCGAAGAACCUUACCAGGGCUUGACAUCCCUUGCAUAUCACAGAGAUGUGAGAAACCCUUCGGGGCAAGGAGACAGGUGGUGCAUGGUUGUCGUCAGCUCGUGUCGUGAGAUGUUGGGUUAAGUCCCGCAACGAGCGCAACCCCUGUUGUUGGUUGCCAGCAAGUAGUGUUGGGCACUCCAGCGAGACUGCCGGUGAUAAAUCGGAGGAAGGUGGGGACGACGUCAAAUCAUCAUGCCCCUUAUGUCCUGGGCUACACACGUACUACAAUGGCCGGUCACAGAGGGAAGCGAGUACGCAAGUAUGAGCGAAUCUCCAAAAACGGUCUCAGUUCGGAUUGAGGGCUGCAACUCGCCCUCAUGAAGUCGGAAUUGCUAGUAAUUGCAAGUCAGCAUAUUGCAGUGAAUACGUUCCCGGGCCUUGUACACACCGCCCGU
RNAcentral lists this ribosomal RNA (498 nucleotides) under uncultured bacterium. RNAcentral describes it as "bacterial SSU rRNA". It matches the Rfam family "Bacterial small subunit ribosomal RNA", at positions 899 to 1397 of the family's 1533-position model. The record is from RNAcentral.